This 525-nucleotide ribosomal RNA is filed under the name uncultured bacterium. RNAcentral's name for it is "partial 16S ribosomal RNA". The record is from RNAcentral.
GUAGUUAGCCGGGGCUUCCUCACAGAUUACCGUCACUUCCUUCGUCAUCUGCGACAGAGGUUUACAAUCCGAAAACCUUCUUCCCUCACGCGGCGUUGCUGGGUCAGGCUUUCGCCCAUUGCCCAAUAUUCCCCACUGCUGCCUCCCGUAGGAGUCUGGACCGUUUCUCAGUUCCAGUGUGGCCGUUCAGCCUCUCAGCUCGGCUACCCAUCGUCGACUAGGUGGGCCGUUACCCCGCCUACUAUCUAAUGGGACGCGAACCCCUCCUAAAGCGGAUUGCUCCUUUGACCCCUUCGUCUUUUGACAUUGUGGUCUUAUGCGGUAUUAGCAACGAUUUCUCGUUGUUAUCCCCCUCUUUAGGUCAGAUUGUUCACGCGUUACUCACCCGUCCGCCACUUAGAUAUCCAACCGAAAUCAAAUAUCUCCGUUCGACUUGCAUGUGUUAGGCACGCCGCCAGCGUUCGUCCUGAGCCAGAAUCGAAACCUCACGUACGUAGACGGCGGUCGUCGGACGACGGCGACAGU